CCCUAUGGGGUGCAGCAGGCGCGGAAACUUUACAAUGCAGGAAACUGCGAUAAGGGAACUCCGAGUGUCUGGGACAUUCUCAGACUGUUCAGGUACCUAAAUAGUAUCCGAUAGUAAGGGCCGGGCAAGACCGGUGCCAGCCGCCGCGGUAACACCGGCGGCCCGAGUGGUAACCGAUAUUAUUGAGCUUAAAGGGUCCGUAGCCGGUUCGGCAAGUCUCUUGGGAAAUCUGACGGCUUAAUCGUCAGGCGUCCAGGGGAUACUACCGGACUUGGGACCGGGAGAGGUAGGAGGUACUCCGGGGGUAGGGGUGAAAUCCUGUAAUCCUCGGGGGACCACCGGUGGCGAAGGCGUCCUACUAGAACGGCUCCGACGGUGAGGGACGAAAGCUAGGGGCACGAACCGGAUUAGAUACCCGGGUAGUCCUAGCCGUAAACGAUGCGGGCUAGGUGUCACGAUAGCCAUGUGCUGCCGUGGUGCCGCAGGGAAACCGUGAAGCCUGCCGCUUGGGAAGUACGUCCGCAAGGAUGAAACUUAAAGGAAUUGGCGGGGGAGCACUACAACGGGUGGAGCCUGCGGUUUAAUUGGACUCAACGCCGGGAAGCUUACCGGUCUCGACAGCUGUAUGAAAGCCAGGCUGAAGACCUUGCUGGACUAGCUGAGAAGAAGUGCAUGGCC
RNAcentral lists this ribosomal RNA (678 nucleotides) under uncultured euryarchaeote. Its description in RNAcentral is "bacterial SSU rRNA". It matches the Rfam family "Archaeal small subunit ribosomal RNA", at positions 321 to 999 of the family's 1478-position model. The record is from RNAcentral. Lineage: Archaea; Methanobacteriati; Methanobacteriota.